Molecule: ribosomal RNA, 310 nt
Filed under: uncultured bacterium
Lineage: Bacteria
Description: bacterial SSU rRNA
Rfam family: Bacterial small subunit ribosomal RNA
Source: RNAcentral
UGGAAACGGCCGCUAAUACCCCAUAUGCCGAGAGGUGAAAUGAAUUUCGCCUGAGGAUGAGCCCGCGUCUGAUUAGCUAGUUGGUGAGGUAAAAGCUUACCAAGGCUACGACGGAUAGCUGGUCUGAGAGGACGAUCAGCCACACUGGGACUGAGACACGGCCCAGACUCCUACGGGAGGCUGCAGCAGGGAAUAUUGUGCAAUGAACGAAAGUUUGACACAGCGACACCGCGUGUGGGAUGACGGAUCUAGGUUUGUAAACCACUUUCAGGAGGGAAGAAAAUGACGGUACCUCCACAAGAAGCCCCGG